This is an RNA transcript of Argiope bruennichi, 1507 nucleotides long. It is a transcript of the gene named zinc finger protein 433-like, with no coding region annotated. Lineage: Eukaryota; Metazoa; Arthropoda; Arachnida; Araneae; Araneidae. The record is from RefSeq and is a predicted model, not a curated record. The transcript has 3 exons.
UUUACUUUCGUUUUCGGUCUGUUUAAUUUUAGAGCAUGUUGCUAAAAUUAGGUUUCUUCAAAAGCGGUCAUUCCAAUUUUUAGUCUGCAUUUUUUUUUUUUUUUUUAAAUUUAUGGCUUAUUAUAAUGAACACUCUUGCAAUCUGUUUCCGAAAAUUAUCCAUUUUGCAACCACAUUGUCACUUUAAAUAACAAAUAUACACGAUUAAAAAGCAUUUAAAUACGAAAGGAAAAUUAUCUGUUGGUUCCUCUUUAGAAUUUAGCCUGAGUUCUAAAGGAAGAAGAUGUCUGAGAGCAGAUGGUUAUAUUUACUAUCGAGAUUAUGAACGUUAUAAUAAAACUUAUUGGCGCUGUGUAUAUUUUCGAAAAUUGAAUUGUUCUUCUGCUCCAGCUAAUCAUGUUAGUUUUUCACCAUUCUUUGGAUUCAGUACUAUGGCAAGACGAGAACGAGGGCAGGGACCUGGUGGCCGAUUCUCUUGUCCUCACUGCACUUAUUCUACCAAUUUGAAAGGUGACUUUAAAAGACAUCAAUUGACUCACACAGGUGAGAAACCUCAUGAAUGUACAUUCUGUGGUAAACGUUUCAGUUUAAAAGGAAACCUUCAGGUACACCUUCAUGUGCAUGCAAGGCAAAUAAACUUGUAUUAGGGUGAGGUUUUUUAAAUAUCUGUCUCUGAAUUAUUGUUUCUUAUUGAAAUUAAAAUUAAUAAACAAUGAUUUUUUGUCACUGUUGAGAGCCAUAACAUGCUUUUCAAAGAUCUGAACAAAUUUUUUAUCCAAUGAUUUUGUAUCUAAAAAAAAUAACAAUUUCGUUGCCCUUAUCUUUUUGUUCCAUUUCUUGCUAUUGCAGUAACUGCAUCUUCAGAUUAUAGAGCUAAAUAGACACUGUUAUUGUCUGUGCAACUUAUUCUAAUUUUAACUCUGAAGAAACUGAGUAUAUGGGCUUAAAAUUCUUCUCUGAAAAUACUUACAAAUAACUGCUUUUAUUAUUAUCAUAUUCUAUAAUAAACAAUAUAAAAUCUAGGUAUGAAAGCACAUCUACAUUUUUCUGAUAAUAAAUAGGUGCUUCUUCAAGUAUAUCAAUGACAAAUAAAAUUGUUAUUCCAAGUUUAUGUUGUAAAACUUAGAAUUUUUAAUAAAUUACGUGGCAUGAAAUUGCUAUAUUUGGCAGCUGCUUCUGUAUUAGAUAAAUGACAUUUUCUUCAAAAGUAAUCCUUGUUGACAAAUGUCUAUUAAUGUAACAGAAAAUUGCAUUUUAUUUAAUUCAUUAUUAAUGAAACAAAGUAGCACGUAGAUAAUCAUCUCAGCUGAAAUGCAAAAUAUUGAUAACUAUGUAACAUGUAUUGUAAUGAAAUUUGUACACAUUAAGGAAAGAAAAAAAGAAACACUUGUAACGUAGAAUAUUUGUUCUACCAAAAAUUUUUUAAUAAAAACAUUUAUUUAUUAUUUUUGGUAAUAUUUCUGUGUAAUAAUAAAAUCAUGUAUUUUAUGUAAAAUAAAAAAAUUUU